This 253-nucleotide ribosomal RNA is filed under the name uncultured bacterium. RNAcentral's name for it is "partial 16S ribosomal RNA". It matches the Rfam family "Bacterial small subunit ribosomal RNA", at positions 524 to 776 of the family's 1533-position model. The record is from RNAcentral.
UACGUAGGGACCAAGCGUUGUUCGGAUUUACUGGGCGUAAAGGGCGCGUAGGCGGCAAUUCAAGUCAUCUGUGAAAUCUCCGGGCUUAACCCGGAACGGUCAGGUGAUACUGUUUUGCUAGAGUGCGGAAGGGGCAAUCGGAAUUCUCGGUGUAGCGGUGAAAUGCGUAGAUAUCAGGAAGAACACCCGUGGCUAAGGCGGCUCUCUAGUACGGUACUGACGCUGAGACGCGAAAGCGUGGGGAGCGAACAGG